AUAUAUCCCCAGAUUUUGUCUGGUGUAGUAGUUUGUUGGCCUGGCCACCAGGAGCUCUACAUUUUCACCAGAUUUCCGAAAUCUGGUGGCCAAUUUCACCAGAUGGCAACGCUGGACUAGAAGUAUGCUACCAGCCAAAGAAUUUUCUAUUUCGUUUCAUGCAGCUAAAAAACACCUAGUAUUCAAGGCUUAAGAUGUGGAGUUGUGACCUCUGCAAUUUUUCUUGUAAGGGUGCUGAAGCGACAGUCUUCACUAAGUGGUACCUGUGUCCAAUAUGUUUUAGGGAAAGUAAUGUUACGUUGGAGGUUGCGAUGCGCGAACAAGGAAAGGCCGCCGAUAUAAAGAUCAAUCCCGGAGGACAACCACCUAAACACGUGUACCCAAAAUACGAAGUUUUGUAUGCUACACAACACUGCAUUAUUACCGGUAACGUGCCGCAGCCAACGCUUAGAACAUACUGCACCUACUGGGUCAAGAAGAGCGAUGUAAAGAAUCGGCACUGGGCUUGUGACUUCAUAUUAAACCAUUACUGCCGAAGCCCAGAAAUUGUCAUUAAGGAUACAAAGGAAUGUUGGCCUGAAUGAAAUGCAUAAAGAUCAAAAUGAACUACACCAAUACAA
Molecule: non-coding RNA, 620 nt
Organism: Dermacentor andersoni
Lineage: Eukaryota; Metazoa; Arthropoda; Arachnida; Ixodida; Ixodidae
Source: RefSeq, a predicted model, not a curated record